UACGUAGGGUGCGAGCGUUAAUCGGAAUUACUGGGCGUAAAGUGUGCGCAGGCGGCCGAGCAAGUCGAGUGUGAAAUCCCCGAGCUUAACUUGGGAAUUGCGCUCGAAACUACGUGGCUGGAGUGUGGCAGAGGAAGGUGGAAUUCCACGUGUAGCGGUGAAAUGCGUAGAGAUGUGGAGGAACACCGAUGGCGAAGGCAGCCUUCUGGGCCAACACUGACGCUCAUGCACGAAAGCGUGGGGAGCAAACAGG
This 253-nucleotide ribosomal RNA is filed under the name uncultured bacterium. RNAcentral describes it as "partial 16S ribosomal RNA". It matches the Rfam family "Bacterial small subunit ribosomal RNA", at positions 524 to 776 of the family's 1533-position model. The record is from RNAcentral.